RNAcentral lists this microRNA precursor (74 nucleotides) under Myotis brandtii (Brandt's bat). RNAcentral's name for it is "mir-9193 microRNA precursor family". It matches the Rfam family "mir-9193 microRNA precursor family". The record is from Rfam by way of RNAcentral. Lineage: Eukaryota; Metazoa; Chordata; Mammalia; Chiroptera; Vespertilionidae.
ACUGGGGCGGGGGGGGUCCCUCAGCCUGGAUUGCAAGAGGGCCAGGCCAGGCUGAGGGACCUUACUGGUGCAGG